Molecule: long non-coding RNA, 873 nt
Filed under: Homo sapiens (human)
Lineage: Eukaryota; Metazoa; Chordata; Mammalia; Primates; Hominidae
Description: HSALNT0345295
Source: RNAcentral
UAGCUGGGCUUGGGGCGGGGCCGAGACGGAGCGAGGGGUCCAGGGUGUGGGAAACGGGGAGGGGUUUGAGGAGGGGAUCGGAAUGUGGCUCAAGUUCGGGAGGCGUUACCUGCGGAGGGUUUGAGGCAGGCCCAGGAGCGAGCCCAUGGUCUUCCGACGCGGGGCCAGGGGCGGGGCCCAGGAUCCGGAGCUUCGUGCGGGGCCGAGUCCAGGUUUGGGGCCCGGGAGGCGGGGCCAGUUAGGGCGAGGGUCCCUGGGAUCGUCGGGUCAGGCCUUGGGCUAACGUAGGCACUCUCGCAGUUCCUCCGCCUUCAGGAAGGUCUUUUCAGCAGGGGCCUUACGGGUGCAUGCUUCGGUCCUGGAGGCCUUAUCCUAGCCUCCUCUCCAUCAGCGCCACCCGUCUGGGGCCCGAAAGGAGGGAGCUUUCCCUCUGUCCCCCAGCCUUUGGACUGUCACUAAACAAGCCAUUCGUUCAUCAAAUACUUUUUAAGCGCCUACCAUGUGCCUGACAAGGGAGAUGUAACGGUGAGAAAAACUAGGUGUGGUCCAGGCCCUUCAGGGGCUCAGGUGCUCGUGGAAGAAGUGGACAUUGAAGUACUUAUCACACAAAUGAGGAUAAAAGUACGAUAACGAUAUCUACCACGAAGCUGUUGUUCCCCACCAGAACCAAAUGAGCGCAAGAUCUGACAAAGAAAAAAAAAGAUAGGGUCUCUCUCUCUGCCACCCAGGCCAGAGUGCAGUUGACGCAGGGCAGGGGAGCCCCGAAGUGGAGCAUAGUGUGUCCGGAACUGGUGGGUUCUUGGUCUCACUGACUUCAAGAAAGAAGCCGCGGACCCUCGCGAGACGGGGUCUUGCUCUGUUGCUCAAGCUGGA